Bombyx mori (domestic silkworm) is the source of this 84-nucleotide non-coding RNA. NCBI's taxonomy places the organism in Eukaryota, Metazoa, Arthropoda, Insecta, Lepidoptera, Bombycidae. The record is from Rfam.
UUAACUAAAAUUUGUGUGAGGUCAGAACGUUUACCUACGUUUGCCGCUAGGGGCGCUGUUCCAACUGCAUACAAAUUUGACUUA